UGAAACGCGAAUUAAGCUAUAAUCAUUGUUCAAACGCCUGUCAAAUACUCGGUCAACUAAUCGGUAUAUAUCGGCGAAUUAACUUAAGGAAAACAAUUAUUUUCUACGUGAAACUACAUUUUGGUUCUUUAAAGCUUACAUAGCUGUCUAUUAUUAUCACCAAGAAGAUACUGGUCAAAGUUCAAUAACAAAUAAAAACACUUCUGUGCGG
Molecule: long non-coding RNA, 211 nt
Organism: Melitaea cinxia (Glanville fritillary)
Lineage: Eukaryota; Metazoa; Arthropoda; Insecta; Lepidoptera; Nymphalidae
Exons: 2
Source: RefSeq, a predicted model, not a curated record